This 469-nucleotide ribosomal RNA is filed under the name uncultured bacterium. Its description in RNAcentral is "SSU rRNA". It matches the Rfam family "Bacterial small subunit ribosomal RNA", at positions 26 to 518 of the family's 1533-position model. The record is from RNAcentral.
AGGAUGAACGCUGGCGGCGUGCCUAACACAUGCAAGUCGAACGUCCUGUCUCGCAAGAGGCAGGGAGUGGCGGACGGGUGAGUACCACGUGGGUCAUCUACCGUGAGGUGAGGAAUACCGGCGAGAAAUCGCCGACAAGACCGCAUAGCCUCGGUGCAAGUCGAGGAAAGCUCUCUCGAGAGAGGGAGCGCCACACGAGGAGCCUGCGCCCGAUUAGCUAGCUGGUGGAGUAAUGGUUCACCAGGGCGACGAUCGGUAGCUGGUCUGAGAGGACGAUCAGCCACACUGGGAUUGAGAACGGCCCAGACUCCUACGGGGGCAGCAGUGAGGAAUUUUCGUCAAUGGGGCAACCCUGAACGAGCAACGCCGCGUGCAGGAAGAAGGUUUCGGAUCGUAAACUGCUUUUCUCGGGAAGAGAACGGACGGUACCCGAGGAAUCACGCCCGGCUAACUACGUGCCAGCAGCCGC